AUUGAACGCUGGCGGAAUGCUUUACACAUGCAAGUCGAACGGCAGCACGGACUUCGGUCUGGUGGCGAGUGGCGAACGGGUGAGUAAUACAUCGGAACGUGCCCGGACGUGGGGGAUAACUACUCGAAAGAGUGGCUAAUACCGCAUACGAUCCAAGGAUGAAAGCGGGGGAUCGCAAGACCUCGCGCGUUUGGAGCGGCCGAUGGCAGAUUAGGUAGUUGGUGAGGUAAAGGCUUACCAAGCCUGCGAUCUGUAGCUGGUCUGAGAGGAUGAUCAGCCACACUGGGACUGAGACACGGCCCAGACUCCUACGGGAGGCAGCAGUGGGGAAUUUUGGACAAUGGGCGAAAGCCUGAUCCAGCCAUUCCGCGUGCAGGAUGAAGGCCCUCGGGUUGUAAACUGCUUUUGUACGGAACGAAAAGGCUCUUGCUAAUACCAGGAGUCCAUGACGGUACCGUAAGAAUAAGCACCGGCUAACUACGUGCCAGCA
RNAcentral lists this ribosomal RNA (490 nucleotides) under uncultured bacterium. RNAcentral's name for it is "bacterial SSU rRNA". It matches the Rfam family "Bacterial small subunit ribosomal RNA", at positions 30 to 513 of the family's 1533-position model. The record is from RNAcentral.